UGGGGAAUAUUGGACAAUGGGCGAAAGCCUGAUCCAGCCAUGCCGCGUGUGUGAAGAAGGUCUUCGGAUUGUAAAGCACUUUAAGUUGGGAGGAAGGGCAGUAAGCGAAUACCUUGCUGUUUUGACGUUACCGACAGAAUAAGCACCGGCUAACUCUGUGCCAGCAGCCGCGGUAAUACAGAGGGUGCAAGCGUUAAUCGAAUUACUGGUCGUAAAGCGCGCGUAGGUGGUUCGUUAAGUUGAAUGUGAAAGCCCCGGGCUCAACCUGGGAACUGCAUCCAUAAAUGGCGAGCUAGAGUUGCGCAGAGUGUGGUGGAAAUUCCUAUGUAGCGGAGAUAUUCGUAGAUAUAGUAAGGAACACCAGUGGCGAAUGCAACCACCUGUGCUCAUACUAUCACUGAGAUGCGAAAGCGUGGGGAGCAAACAGG
This 428-nucleotide ribosomal RNA is filed under the name Pseudomonadota bacterium. RNAcentral's name for it is "Proteobacteria bacterium partial 16S ribosomal RNA". It matches the Rfam family "Bacterial small subunit ribosomal RNA", at positions 355 to 776 of the family's 1533-position model. The record is from RNAcentral. Lineage: Bacteria; Pseudomonadati; Pseudomonadota.